RNAcentral lists this ribosomal RNA (253 nucleotides) under uncultured bacterium. RNAcentral describes it as "partial 16S ribosomal RNA". It matches the Rfam family "Bacterial small subunit ribosomal RNA", at positions 524 to 776 of the family's 1533-position model. The record is from RNAcentral.
UACGUAGGGGGCAAGCGUUGUCCGGAAUCAUUGGGCGUAAAGAGCGUGUAGGCGGCUCGAUAAGUCCGCUGUGAAAGUCCAGGGCUCAACCCUGGAAGGCCGGUGGAAACUGUCGGGCUAGAGUCCGGAAGAGGCGAGUGGAAUUCCCGGUGUAGCGGUGGAAUGCGCAGAUAUCGGGAGGAACACCAAUGGCGAAGGCAGCUCGCUGGGACGGUACUGACGCUGAGACGCGAAUGCGUGGGGAGCAAACAGG